Molecule: microRNA precursor, 169 nt
Organism: Medicago truncatula (barrel medic)
Lineage: Eukaryota; Viridiplantae; Streptophyta; Magnoliopsida; Fabales; Fabaceae
Rfam family: MIR2619 microRNA precursor family
Source: Rfam
AAACAGCCCCCUAUGUUUUGAUUCUUUGGCAGUUUUGGACCCCGAAGGCAAAAAAAAUAAAAAAAUAGACACGUGGCACCUCACUUAGGGUGCCACGUCAGCGUUGACCGAAUCAACAAUGGACUAGGGGUCCAAAACUCCCAAAGAAUCAAAACAUAGGGGGCUGUUU